AGGCCAUAGAGGGCCAAUGCUUCAGCAAAGAUGAGAAUGAGGAUCAUCCCAACAAAAAGCUUCGGCUGUUGUGCAUUAGCUCUAACACCUGCAUCCCCUACGAUGCCAAUUGCCAUACCAGCAGAGAGACCAGCAAGGCCACAAGCGAGACCAGAAGAGAGGUGAGCGUAUCCAUCGAAGAGAUAAUAAGACUUGGCCUU
RNAcentral lists this unclassified non-coding RNA (200 nucleotides) under Hevea brasiliensis (rubber tree). The record is from RNAcentral. Lineage: Eukaryota; Viridiplantae; Streptophyta; Magnoliopsida; Malpighiales; Euphorbiaceae.